RNAcentral lists this long non-coding RNA (336 nucleotides) under Zea mays. RNAcentral describes it as "long non-coding RNA (ZMAY_LNC002057)". The record is from RNAcentral. Lineage: Eukaryota; Viridiplantae; Streptophyta; Magnoliopsida; Poales; Poaceae.
UCCUCAUGGCCGGCCAGGGACACCUUUUCCUUCUUGAAGACGGAGGUCUCGAAGUCGAGCGACGGCAUGGCGGUGCCGAUGACCGACGGCGACGAGACCUUCGCAGCCACGGCGCGGCGGCGGUCCGCGGAGGCGGCGACGAGGCAUGGGUGCUGCGUGGCGGGGAAGGAGACGGAGGUGGCGGCUGUGGCUACGGAGGGGGCGGGGUUUAGGGUUUUGCGGCCGAUGGCGAGGUAGGUGGAAGAGGAAGUCGCCGCCGCCAUUUCAGAGGAGCAGAGGCUAGUGAAGAGUGAGGUGGCUGGAAAGAGAGGAUUUCCGGAGAUGCGUCCGUGAGCU